Molecule: ribosomal RNA, 1830 nt
Filed under: uncultured eukaryote
Lineage: Eukaryota
Description: partial small subunit ribosomal RNA
Rfam family: Eukaryotic small subunit ribosomal RNA
Source: RNAcentral
ACCUGGUUGAUCCUGCCAGUAGUCAUAUGCUUGUCUCAAAGAUUAAGCCAUGCAUGUCUAAGUAUAAUAAACUUGUAUUUUAGAAACUGCGAAUAGCUCAUUAUAACAGUAAAUAUCUAAUUGAUGGAAACAAUUCCUAUAUGGAUAACCGUAGGAAAAUACAGCUAAUACAUGCUUAGAAACCUGAUUAUAUUUAUAUGAAAGGGUUGUAUUUAUUAGAUAAAAAAUCAUGUUUAAUGAUGAUUCAUAAUAACUAGACGAAUCCGUUCUUAAUGAAUAGAUGCUUCAAUCGAUUUUCUGCCCUAUCAACUGACGAUGGUAGUAUAGAGGACUACCAUGGUAAUAACGGGUAACGGAGAAUUAGGGUUCGAUUCCGGAGAGGGAGCCUGAGAAAUGGCUACCACUUCUAAGGAGGGCAGCAGGCGCGUAAAUUACCCAAUCCUAAUACAGGGAGGUAGUGACAAGAAAUAACGGACUGAGGCCUAUGCUUCAGGUUGCAAUGAGUAGAAUUUAAACCCCUUUUCGAGUAACAAUUGGAGGGCAAGUCUGGUGCCAGCAGCCGCGGUAAUUCCAUCUCCAAUAGCGUAUAUUUAAGUUGUUGCAGUUAAAAAGCUCGUAGUUGGAUUUCUGGUAGGAUGCUUUAAUCUGCCGUGAAGGUUUGUAUUAACAAUUUGAUUAUACCAUUAUGAAUAUUUCACAUGAGUACUUAAUUGAACUUGUGGUUCGUAAGAUCUGGAAAUUUCAUACAUUUACUGUGAGUAAAUUAGAGUGUUUAAAGCAAUCUCUUUGGAUUUUGAAUAUCAUUAGCAUGGGAUAAUAAAAUAUGAUCAUUUAAUUAUUUUUAUUGGUUUAUAAUUAAAAGAUAAUGAUUAAUAGGGAUAGUUGGGGGCGUUUAUAUUUAAUUGUCAGAGGUGAAAUUCUUAGAUUUCUUAAAGAUAAACUUCUGCGAAGGCGUUCGUCAAGGAUGUUUUCAUUAAUCAAGAACGAAAGUUAGGGGAUCGAAGACGAUCAGAUACCGUCGUAGUCUUAACCAUAAACCAUUCCUAACCAUAAACCAUGCCGACCAGCGAUUGGAAGACGUUACAUGGAUGACUCCUCCAGCAGCUUGUGAGAAAUCAUAAGUCUUUGGGUUCCGGGGGGAGUAUGGUCGCAAGGCUGAAACUUAAAGGAAUUGACGGAAGGGCACCACCAGGAGUGGAGCCUGCGGCUUAAUUUGACUCAACACGGGAAAACUUACCAGGUCCGGACAUAAUGAGGAUUGACAGAUUGAGAGCUCUUUCUUAAUUUUAUGGGUAGUGGUGCAUGGCCGUUCUUAGUUGGUGGAGUGAUUUGUCUGGUUAAUUCCGUUAACGAACGAGACCUCAUCUUACUAAAUAGUUAUAUUUAUACUUUUGUAUAGAUAGACAACUUCUUAGAAGGACUGUUGGGAACAAAAACCAAAGGAAGCUUGAGGCGAUAACAGGUCUGUGAUGCCCUUAGAUGUUCUGGGCUGCACGCGUGCUACACUGAUAAAGUCAACAAGUUUAAAACCUUAUUCGAUAGAAUUGGGUAAUCUUUUAAAACUUUAUCGUGAUGGGGAUAGAUGAUUGCAAUUUUUCAUCUUGAACGAGGAAUGCCUAGUAAGUGUAAAUCAUCAGUUUGCAUUGAUUACGUCCCUGCCCCUUGUACACACCGCCCGUCGCUGCUACCGAUUGAAUGGUCCAGUGAAAUCUUUGGAUUGUUUAUUCACACUUUCAGCAAUGGAAGUACGCUGUCGAAAAAUUGAUUAAACUUUAUCAUUUAGAGGAAGCAAAAGUCGUAACAAGGUUUCCGUAGGUGAACCAGCGGAAG